CCUACGGGUGGCAGCAGUGGGGAAUAUUGCACAAUGGGGGAAACCCUGAUGCAGCAACGCCGCGUGAGUGAUGACGGCCUUCGGGUUGUAAAGCUCUGUCUUCAGGGACGAUAAUGACGGUACCUGAGGAGGAAGCCACGGCUAACUACGUGCCAGCAGCCGCGGUAAUACGUAGGUGGCAAGCGUUGUCCGGAUUUACUGGGUGUAAAGGGCGUGCAGCCGGGAAGACAAGUCAGAUGUGAAACCCCGCGGCUCAACCGCGGAACUGCAUUUGAAACUGUUUUUCUUGAGUACCGGAGAGGUCAUCGGAAUUCCUUGUGUAGCGGUGAAAUGCGUAGAUAUAAGGAAGAACACCAGUGGCGAAGGCGGAUGACUGGACGGCAACUGACGGUGAGGCGCGAAAGCGUGGGGAGCAAACAGGAUUAGAUACCCUUGUAGUC
RNAcentral lists this ribosomal RNA (440 nucleotides) under uncultured bacterium. RNAcentral describes it as "partial 16S ribosomal RNA". It matches the Rfam family "Bacterial small subunit ribosomal RNA", at positions 338 to 795 of the family's 1533-position model. The record is from RNAcentral.